GAAAUAGAUCCUGAAACCGCAUGCAUACAAGCAGUGGGAGCACCUUCGUGGUGUGACUGCGUACCUUUUGUAUAAUGGGUCAGCGACUUAUAUUCAGUAGCGAGGUUAACCGUAUAGGGGAGCCGUAGAGAAAUCGAGUCUUAAUAGGGCGUUUAGUUGCUGGGUAUAGACCCGAAACCAGGCGAUCUAUCCAUGAGCAGGUUGAAGGUUGGGUAACACUAACUGGAGGACCGAACCCACUGUCGUUGAAAAGCCAGGGGAUGACUUGUGGAUAGGGGUGAAAGGCUAAUCAAGCCUGGUGAUAGCUGGUUCUCCCCGAAAGCUAUUUAGGUAGCGCCUCGGACGAAUACCAUAGGGGGUAGAGCACUGUUUCGGCUAGGGGGUCAUCCCGACUUACCAAACCGAUGCAAACUCCGAAUACCUAUGAGUACUAUCCGGGAGACAGACUGCGGGUGCUAACGUCCGUAGUCAAGAGGAAAACAAUCCAGACCGCCAGCUAAGGCCCCAAAAUCAUAGUUAAGUGGGAAACGAUGUGGGAAGGCAUAGACAGCUAGGAGGUUGGCUUAGAAGCAGCCACCCUUUAAAGAAAGCGUAAUAGCUCACUAGUCGAGUCGGCCUGCGCGGAAGAUGUAACGGGGCUAAAACUAUGUGCCGAAGCUGCGGAUGUAUACUUUGUAUACGUGGUAGGGGAGCGUUCUGUAAGCCGAUGAAGGUGUGUUGAGAAGCAUGCUGGAGGUAUCAGAAGUGCGAAUGCUGACGUGAGUAACGACAAAACGGGUGAAAAACCCGUUCGCCGAAAGACCAAGGGUUCCAGUCCAACGUUAAUCGGGGCUGGGUGAGUCGACCCCUAAGGCGAGGCCGAAAGGCGUAGUCGAUGGGAAAAUGGUUAAUAUUCCAUUACUUCUGUGUAAUGCGAUGAGAGGACGGAGAAGGCUAAAUCAGCCUGGCGUUGGUUGUCCAGGUGAAAGGAUGUAGGCAUGUAUCUUAGGCAAAUCCGGGGUACUCUAUGCUGAGAUCUGAUAGCAAGCUGUACUUGUACAGCGAAGUGGUUGAUGCCAUGCUUCCAGGAAAAGUCUCUAAGCUUCAGUUACACAGGAAUCGUACCCGAAACCGACACAGGUGGUCAGGUCGAGUAGACCAAGGCGCUUGAGAGAACUCUGCUGAAGGAACUAGGCAAAAUGGUACCGUAACUUCGGGAGAAGGUACGCUGUUGUUGGUGAUGGAACUCGCUUCCUGAGCUGACGACAGCCGCAGAAACCAGGCCGCUGCAACUGUUUAUUAAAAACAUAGCACUCUGCAAACACGAAAGUGGACGUAUAGGGUGUGAUGCCUGCCCGGUGCUGGAAGGUUAAUUGAUGGGGUUAGCGUAAGCGAAGCUCUUGAUCGAAGCCC
Molecule: ribosomal RNA, 1392 nt
Filed under: Acinetobacter baumannii
Lineage: Bacteria; Pseudomonadati; Pseudomonadota; Gammaproteobacteria; Moraxellales; Moraxellaceae
Description: partial 23S ribosomal RNA
Rfam family: Bacterial large subunit ribosomal RNA
Source: RNAcentral